Molecule: long non-coding RNA, 2421 nt
Filed under: Homo sapiens (human)
Lineage: Eukaryota; Metazoa; Chordata; Mammalia; Primates; Hominidae
Description: HSALNT0011274
Source: RNAcentral
GGAAAUGCUUGGAUGCCCAGGGCAGCAAAAGUUUGCUGCAGGGACGGGACCCUCAUGGAGAACCUCUACUAGGGCAGUGCAGAAGGGAAAUGUGACAUCAGUGCCCUAGAGUCCCUACUAGGGCACUGCCUAGUGGAGCUGUGAGAAGAGGGCCACCAUCCUCCAGACCCCAGAAUGGUAGAUCCUCCGACAGCUUGCACCAUGCACCUGGAAAAGCUGCAGACACUCAACACCAGACCAUGAACACAGCCAGGAGGAGGGCUAUACCCUGCAAAGCCACAGGAUGGAGCUGGUGAAGGCCAUGAAAGCCCACCUCUUGCAUCAGCAUGACCUGGAUGUCGGACAUGCAGUCAAAGGAGAUCAUUUUGGAACUUUUUAAGAUUUGACUGCCCUGCUGGAUUUCAGACUUGCUUGGAGUCUGUAGUCCCUUUGUUUUGGUCAAUUUCUUCCAUUUGGAAUGGCUGUAUUUACCCAGUGUCUCUACCCUCAUUUUAUCUAGGAAGUAACUAACUUUCUUUUGAUUUUACAGCCUCAUAGGUGGAAGUAACUUGCCUUGUAUUGGAUGAGACUUUGGACUGUGGAAGUUUGAGUUAAUGCUGAAAUGAGUUAAGAUUCUGGGGGACUGUUGGGAAGGUAUGAUUGGUUUUGAAAUGUGAGGACAUGAAAUUUGGGAGGGGCAAGGGCUGGAAUGAUAUGGUUUGGCUGUGUCUCCACCCAAAUCUCAUCUUGAAUUCCCAUGUGUUGUGGGAGGGACCCUGUGGGAGGUAAAUGAAUCACGGGGGUAAGUCUUUCCUGUGGUGUUCUCAUGACAGUGAAUAAAUCUCAUGAGAUCUGAUGGUUUUAUAAAAGGAGUUUUUCUGCACAAGCUCUCUCUUUCUUUGCCUGCUGUCAUCCACGUAAGUAAGACGUGACUUGCUCCUCCUUGCCUUCUGCUAUGAUUGUGAAGCCUCCCCAGAUAUAUGGAAUUGGAAUAAGGAGGCCCUUGGAGAGGGAGACAGACAGAGGAACAGCCGGUUGGUAGAGCAACCAGAAGACACACAACACGUAUUGGUUAAGUUUGCUGUCUUAUAUGGGCAUGGUUUGUGGUGCUCCAAAGCAAUUACAAUAACAUCAAAGAUCAUUGGUGUAACAGAUGACCCUAACAGACAUAAUAGUACUAAAAAAGUUUGAAACAUUGCAAGAAUUAUCAAAAUGUGGCACAGAGACAGAAAGUGAGCACAUGCUAUUAAAAAGAAUGACAUCAACAGACUUGCUCGAAGAAAGGUUGCCACAAACCUUCAAUUUGUAAAAGAAGAAAAAAUACAUGUGAAGUGCAACAAAGCAAAGCACAAUGAAACAAGAGUUUAAGAUUGCUACAAUUCUAUAAGUAUUGACUGACAUCAUUAGAUUAUUAAGAAUGAAGAACUUGAAGGAAAGAUACCGUUUCCAUAUGAGCACGCUCUCCAGUUGCUUCCUGAGAAAGGGCUCAUGGAAGUUUCAUUUUCAGGAAUAUAAUUGCCGAUCCUCUGCAAAAUUCUUCAGCUAAUAUUGACUUGAAGCAACUACAAGGCUGCCCCCAGAUAGUUUCAGAUAUCUGCAGUUGGCUAAGUAACUUACAAUUAGUACACUCACUUUCUGUCUUCUAAUAUUUUGUUGGUAUCCUUUACUAUGUUCAAUCUCCUGAUAUGUUUGUCAUUGUGAGUUUGCAUAUAUACUGUAGUUUUAAAAAAUUGAUAUUGCAAUAUUUAAAUGAAUGAUAUUGCAAUAUUGACAUGGAAUAGAGAUUGGGAGAAUAAGUAUGAAGUAUGAUAAAACUACUAUGUUUAACAGGAAGUUAAUACAAUGUAUUAGUUAAAGGAUUUUACUACUAAUGCACAACCCCAAAUACCCAGAUUAUGUGACAAUUCAUAAUUUUAAAGAGGCACAUCAUAACAUUGUUAUUGUCUAUCCAGUGACUAAUUAAAGUAUAAUCUUUUUAAAUGCUUGUUUUUGAAAUUUAUAAAGUUCAUGGAUAACAGUUCAGUUGUGAUUUACUUGUAAAAUAUGUAAGGAUAGAAUCUAUUUGAGUACAUUAAUAAAUUAUUUUGGCCUUCCAUUUUGCAGUUUUUAAGGGCUGAAGAGAACACUCAAUUUUUCAUUUGUACUAUACUCCAUUACGUAUGAAAUAACAGAUGCACAUUUUUGUUGUUGUUGAAAGUUGGGGCCUCCAAAACUUUAUGACAGAUCGUUCAUAAGUUUCAUGGUUCUAAUGACUGGAAAAAUAAUACAGAACUUAAGCCAUGGAGAUUAUGGGUAGAGAGUAUAGAAUUUAUAUCACAUAAAUCAGUAUAAGAUGUUGGUGUUUUAAGAGACUGUUACUCAUUUCAUAUCCAUUACUCAGAUAGAUCACUUUAAUUUAGAAUCCUUCAACUUUAAUGAUUCUGUAAAUAAUGGGAAGGUAUA